UCCUCUCCUCCUCCUCUCCCCUUCCUCUCCCCUUCCUCUCCUCCUCCUCUCCCCUUCCUCUCCCCCUCCUCUCCCCUUCCUCUCCCCUUCCUCUCCUCCUCCUCUCCCCUUCCUCUCCCCUUCCUCUCCUCCUCCUCUCCCCUUCCUCUCCCCUUCCUCUCCCCUUCCUCUCCCCUUCCUCUCCCCUUCCUCUCCCCCUCCUCUCCUCCUCCAAUGCUGUUGUAAAGGAUCUCCAUUCUCAGGUUGUUAACAGGUCUAUAUUUGGGUUGGAUUGUUUAUAGUGGUGUCUGUAUUAACAUCAUAUAGCUUUGUCCAACUCCAGUAGGAUUAUAAUCUAUGAAUCUCCUUCUCAUUAAAUAUAACCUCUGGUUUAAACUCUCAUUCCUUACUCUGUCCGCCUGUCAAUCCCUCUCCCUGCAUCAAAGCUUUAGUGACUUAGUUAACUCUGGUUCAGCUGCCUGAGUUGCUCUGGUUUAGCUGCCUGAGUUGCUCUGGUUCAGCUGCCUGAGUUGCUCUGGUUCAGCUGCCUGAGUUGCUCUGGUUUAGCUGCCUGAGUUGCUCUGGUUCAGCUGCCUGAGUUGCUCUGGUUCAGCUGCCUGAGUUGCUCUGGUUCAGCUGCCUGAGUUGCUCUGGUUCAGCUGCCUGAGUUGCUCUGGUUCAGCUGCCUGAGUUGCUCUGGUUCAGCUGCCUGAGUUGCUCUGGUUUAGCUGCCUGAGUUGCUCUGGUUCAGCUGCCUGAGUUGCUCUGGUUCAGCUGCCUGAGUUGCUCUGGUUUAGCUGCCUGAGUUGCUCUGGUUCAGCUGCCUGAGUUGCUCUGGUUUAGCUGCCUGAGUUGCUCUGGUUUAGCUGCCUGAGUUACCUGGCUGUUGGAUGGAAUUUGUAUGAAUGUUCUGUGAUGGUUGUAUGGAUGUUCUGUGAUGGUUGUGUGGAUGUUCUGUGAUGGUUGUGUGGAUGUUCUGUGAUGGUUGUAUGAUGUUCUGUGAUGGUUGUAUGGAUGUUCUGUGAUGGUUGUAUGGAUGUUCUGUGGUGGUUGUACGGAUGUUCUGUGAUGGUUGUAUGGAUGUUCUGUGAUGGUUGUGUGAAUGUUCUGUGAUGGUUGUAUGAAUGUUCUGUGAUGGUUGUAUGGAUGUUCUGUGAUGGUUGUAUGAAUGUUCUGUGAUCGUUGUAUGGAUGUUCUGUGAUGGUUGUAUGGAUGUUCUGUGAUGGUUGUAUGGAUGUUCUGUGAUGGUUGUGUGAAUGUUCUGUGAUGGUUGUAUGGAUGUUCUGUGAUGGUUGUAUGGAUGUUCUGUGGUGGUUGUAUGGAUGUUCUGUGAUGGUUGUAUGGAUGUUCUGUGAUGGUUGUGUGAAUGUUCUGUGAUGGUUGUAUGGAUGUUCUGUGAUGGUUGUAUGGAUGUUCUGUGAUGGUUGUAUGGAUGUUCUGUGGUGGUUGUAUGGAUGUUAUAUUGUGGUUGUAUGGAUGUUCUGUGGUGGUUGUAUGAAUGUUCUGUGAUGGUUGUAUGGAUGUUCUGUGGUGGUUGUAUGAAUGUUCUGUGAUGGUUGUAUGGAUGUUCUGUGAUGGUUGUAUGAAUGUUCUGUGGUGGUUGUAUGGAUGUUCUGUGAUGGUUGUAUGAAUGUUCUGUGAUGGUUGUGUGAAUGUUCUGUGAUGGUUGUAUGGAUGUUCUGUGAUGGUUGUAUGAAUGUUCUGUGGUGGUUGUAUGGAUGUUCUGUGAUGGUUGUAUGGAUGUUCUGUGAUGGUUGUAUGGAUGUUCUGUGAUGGUUGUAUGGAUGUUCUGUGAUGGUUGUAUGAAUGUUCUGUGAUGGUUGUGUGAAUGUUCUGUGAUGGUUGUAUGAUGUUCUGUGAUGGUUGUAUGAAUGUUCUGUGAUGGUUGUAUGAAUGCUCUGUGAUGGUUGUAUGAAUGUUCUGUGAUGGUUGUAUGGAUGUUAUGAGAUGGUUGUGUGGAUGUUAGAUGUUGUAUGAAUGUUCUGUGAUGGUUGUAUGAUGUUCUGUGAUGGUUGUAUGGAUGUUCUGUGAUGGUUGUAUGAAUGCUCUGUGAUGGUUGUAUGAAUGUUCUGUGAUGGUUGUAUGGAUGUUAUGAGAUGGUUGUGUGGAUGUUAGAUGUUGUAUGAAUGUUCUGUGAUGGUUGUGUGAAUGUUCUGUGAUGGUUGUGUGAAUGUUCUGUGAUGGUUGUGUGAAUGUUCUGUGAUGGUUGUAUGAAUGUUCUGUGAUGGUUGUGUGGAUGUUCUGUGAUGUUGUAUGAAUGUUAGGAGAUGGUUGUGUGGAUGUUCUGUGAUGGUUGUGUGGAUGUUAGGAGAUGGUUGUAUGAAUGUUAGGAGAUGGUUGUGUGGAUGUUCAGUGAUGGUUGUGUGAAUGUUCUGUGAUGGUUGUGUGAAUGUUCUGUGAUGGUUGUGUGAAUGUUCUGUGAUGGUUGUGUGAAUGUUCUGUGAUAGUUGUAUGAAUGUUCUGUGAUGGUUGUGUGGCUGUUCUGUGAUGGUUGUGUGGAUGUUAGGAGAUGGUUGUGUGGAUGUUAGGAGAUGGUUGUGUGGAUGUUCCUCCCAAUACAUUGAGGUUGACAGGUCUUCUCAGUGUUCUCUGACCCUGAGGUAGGACUAGGGGUCAGGGUGAGGUAGGGCUAGGGGUCAGGGUGAGGUAGGGCUAGUGGUCAGGGUGAGGUAGGGUUAGUGAGGUAGGGCUAGGGGACAGGGUUAGUGAGGUAGGGCUAGGGGUCAGGGUGAGGUAGGACUAGGGGUCAGGGUGAGGUAGGGUUAGUGAGGUAGGGCUAGGGGUCAGGGUGAGGUAGGGCUAGGGGACAGGGUGAGGUAGAGCUAGGGAGGUAGGGCUAGGGGUCAGGGUGAGGUAGGGCUAGUGAGGUAGGGCUAGGGGUUUGGGUUGCUAGUUUGGUAGUGUUAGUUUGAUAGACAGGUGUCAGAUUGAGUGUCUGAGCCUGAACCAACUGACCAUCUAACCUUUAACCUCUGACCUGGAAGUCUUAUGAAUAACUCUCUGGCAUUGCUGUCAGACUUAGUAGCCGACAGGAAGUCUGAGGUCUUACGCGACACACAACUCUGUCCUGCAGACUUCCAAAUGACAUCGAUGCAUGAUUUAGGUAAAACCCACCGGACAGCCAGUGAUCUGAGGCUGGGUUUGUCCUGCAGUAAAGCAUCUUCCAGGACAGCUUAGGGGGUUUCAAUCCUAGCUCUGCACACACGAACAUCUCCUUAGACACCACGUUGUUAGCUAUGGCACGGUCUGAUGUGGGCCUGAGACCCGCUAACCUACCUGCUUCAACACCUCAACACUCACCGAACCACUACACUUUCUAUGGGACGACCUACCUGCUGCUAGCCCUCUCGACUACACAGAGCUCUAUCGGGUUCUACUGGGUUCACUCGGGUUCUACUAGAUUCUACCAGGUUCUGAGGUUCUACCAGGUUCGAAGGUUCUACCAGGUUCUGAGGUUCUACCAGGUUCUGAGGUUCUACCAGGCAUUACCAGGUUCUGAGGUUCGAAGGUUCUACCAGGUUCUGAGGUUCUACCAGGCAUUACCAGGUUCUGAGGUUCGAAGGUUCUACCAGGUUCUGAGGUUCUACCAGGUUCUGAGGUUCUACCAGGUUCUGAGUGAACAGGGAGAGGAGGGGGCUGAGAAGCUUUGGUCCUGAUAAUAUUAGUGGAACAUGACCUAAUGAGGCCACCAGACCUGCUCCAUACUGCCCAGCCUCCCUACAGCCACCAGACCUGCUCCAUACUGCCCAGCCUCCC
RNAcentral lists this long non-coding RNA (3735 nucleotides) under Salmo salar (Atlantic salmon). RNAcentral's name for it is "lncRNA (ENSSSAG00000111559.1)". The record is from RNAcentral. Lineage: Eukaryota; Metazoa; Chordata; Actinopteri; Salmoniformes; Salmonidae.